Non-coding RNA from Rattus norvegicus (Norway rat), 633 nucleotides. Lineage: Eukaryota; Metazoa; Chordata; Mammalia; Rodentia; Muridae. The record is from RefSeq and is a predicted model, not a curated record.
CAGCAAGGCAGGAUCUAUCCCUCUGUGGCUGGCGUAUCUCACUUGGCCUCUUGACUUCCAGGUUGACAAAAACGUGCAGGCUUCCUGUCUCUUCAAGGGUUAACUGGCUCCGCUGUGUGUGUGUUCUGCCCUGCCUUUACCUAGUGCAGUCAUGGGAGAACAAAUAUCCCUUCAGGAAGGGUCCCUUUGAUGUGUGUAUGAACUAGCCCACAAAGGGCUCUUGUGCCGACGCGGUGAUCUACGCAAUUCUGUAAACAUUGCUUUGGAAGGUCUGGAACUGUCAUCAGGUGGACCUAACUGGAGGAAGGCCACGUUUUUUCUCAGCACAAGGAGCCUUGCCCUUACCUAUGUAGGUCCGAGCUGAACACACCCAUGGCUGGCUCCCUUCGCCCCCAAGAAAAGAUAUGGGCCUGGAAGCGUCUGACAGGGAAGCCCACAGUCGCACUGUGUAAGAAGAACGGGUUCACUCUACAUCCAUGGCCAGGAGGAGUCCCCAUCUCACAGGGAAAGGUAGUAUUAACAGUAGGUGUGAACAGUCUGUUCUUAUGAGUGGCUCGGGCAGGGAGACAUAGCCUCUGUCAUCCUGUGCCCUGCACCCCUGCAGUUUGGAAGUUAACACUGCACGUUAUAAAU